CCUACGGGGGGUUGCAGUGAGGAAUAUUGGUCAAUGGCCGAGAGGCUGAACCAGCCAAGUCGCGUGAGGGAAGACGGCCCUACGGGUUGUAAACCUCUUUUGUCGGGGAGCAAAGCGAGUCACGUGUGACUCAUUGAGAGUACCCGAAGAAAAAGCAUCGGCUAACUCCGGGCCAGCAGCCGCGGUAAUACGGGGGAUGCGAGCGUUAUCCGGAUUUAUUGGGUUUAAAGGGUGCGCAGGCGGAGGUGCAAGUCAGCGGUAAAAUUGCGGGGCUCAACCCCGUACUGCCGUUGAAACUGCAUCCCUUGAGUGCGCGAGAAGUAUGCGGAAUGCGUGGUGUAGCGGUGAAAUGCAUAGAUAUCACGCAGAACUCCGAUUGCGAAGGCAGCAUACCGGCGCGCAACUGACGCUCAUGCACGAAAGCGUGGGUAUCGAACAGGAUUAGAUAUCCUAGUAGUC
RNAcentral lists this ribosomal RNA (459 nucleotides) under uncultured bacterium. RNAcentral's name for it is "partial 16S ribosomal RNA". It matches the Rfam family "Bacterial small subunit ribosomal RNA", at positions 338 to 795 of the family's 1533-position model. The record is from RNAcentral.